This 475-nucleotide ribosomal RNA is filed under the name uncultured bacterium. RNAcentral describes it as "bacterial SSU rRNA". It matches the Rfam family "Bacterial small subunit ribosomal RNA", at positions 30 to 507 of the family's 1533-position model. The record is from RNAcentral.
UGAACGCUGGCGGCGUGCUAACACAUGCAAGUCGAACGAAGCACUUUAAAACAAGUCUUUCGGGUGCGUUUAUUGUGACUAGUGGCGGACGGGUGAGUAACGCGUGGGUAACCUGCCUCAUGCAGGGGGAUAACAGUUAGAAAUGACUGCUAAUACCGCAUAAGCGCACAGUACCGCAUGGUACAGUGUGAAAAGAUUAUCAGCAUGAGAUGGACCCGCGUCUGAUUAGCUAGUGGUGAGGUAACGGCUCACCAAGGCGACGAUCAGUAGCCGACUUGAGAGAGGUUGAUCGGCCACAUUGGGACUGAGACACGGCCCAGACUCCUACGGGAGGCAGCAGUGGGGAAUAUUGCACAAUGGGGGAAACCCUGAUGCAGCAACGCCGCGUGAGUGAUGACGGUCUUCGGAUUGUAAAGCUCUGUCUUUAGGGACGAUAAUGACGGUACCUAAGGAGGAAGCCACGGCUAACUACGUG